UGAACCAGCGGAAGGAUCAUUGCUGGAACGCGCCCCAGGCGCACCCAGAAACCCUU
Molecule: ribosomal RNA, 56 nt
Filed under: Diaporthe phoenicicola
Lineage: Eukaryota; Fungi; Ascomycota; Sordariomycetes; Diaporthales; Diaporthaceae
Description: partial 18S ribosomal RNA
Source: RNAcentral